CAGCCGUAAACUAUGCUCGCUAGGUGUCAGGCAUGGCGCGACCGUGUCUGGUGCCGCAGGGAAGCCGUGAAGCGAGCCACCUGGGAAGUACGGCCGCAAGGCUGAACUUAAGGAUUGGCGGGGGAGCACAACAACGGGUGGAGCCUGCGGUUUAAUUGGACUCAACGCCGGACAACUCACCGGGGACGACAGCAAUAUGUAGGCCAGGCUGAAGACCUUGCCUGAAUCGCUGAGAGGAGGUGCAUGGCGUAGACGUCU
Molecule: ribosomal RNA, 258 nt
Filed under: uncultured archaeon
Lineage: Archaea
Description: partial 16S ribosomal RNA
Rfam family: Archaeal small subunit ribosomal RNA
Source: RNAcentral